UACAGAGGUCUCAAGCGUUGUUCGGAUUCAUUGGGCGUAAAGGGUGCGUAGGUGGCGCCGUAAGUGGGGUGUGAAAUCUCGGGGCUUAACUCCGAAACUGCAUUCCAUACUGCGGUGCUCGAGGACUGGAGAGGAGACUGGAAUUCAUGGUGUAGCAGUGAAAUGCGUAGAGAUCAUGAGGAAGACCAGUGGCGAAGGCGGGUCUCUGGGCUGAAACUGACGCUCAUGCACGAAAGCGUGGGGAGCAAACAGG
This 253-nucleotide ribosomal RNA is filed under the name uncultured bacterium. RNAcentral describes it as "partial 16S ribosomal RNA". It matches the Rfam family "Bacterial small subunit ribosomal RNA", at positions 524 to 776 of the family's 1533-position model. The record is from RNAcentral.